Molecule: ribosomal RNA, 497 nt
Filed under: uncultured bacterium
Lineage: Bacteria
Description: partial 16S ribosomal RNA
Rfam family: Bacterial small subunit ribosomal RNA
Source: RNAcentral
GAUGAACGCUGGCGGCGUGCCUAAUACAUGCAAGUCGAGCGAACAGACGAGGAGCUUGCUCCUCGGACGUUAGCGGCGGACGGGUGAGUAACACGUGGAUAACCUACCUAUAAGACUGGGAUAACUUCGGGAAACCGGAGCUAAUACCGGAUAAUAUAUUGAACCGCAUGGUUCAAUAGUGAGAGACGGUGUUGCUGUAACUUAUAGAUGGAUCCGCGCCGCAUUAGGUGGUUGGGAAGGUAACGGCUUACCAAGGCAACGAUGCGUAGCCGACCUGAGAGGCUGGUCGGCCACACUGGAACUGAGACACGGUCCAGACUCCUACGGGAGGCACCAGUAGGGAAUCUUCCGCAAUGGGCGAAAGCCUGACGCAGCAACGCCGCGUGAGUGAUGAAGGUCUUCGGAUCGUAAAACUCUGUUAUUAGUGAAGAACAACUGUGUAAGUAACUAUGCACGUCUUGACGGUACCUAAUCAGAAAGCCACGGCUAACUACGUG